Non-coding RNA from Lacerta agilis (Sand lizard), 73 nucleotides. The record is from the annotation of a RefSeq genome assembly. Lineage: Eukaryota; Metazoa; Chordata; Lepidosauria; Squamata; Lacertidae.
ACCUGGAUAGCUCAGUCGGUAGAGCAGGAGACUCUGAAUCUCUUGGCCAUGGGUUCUAGUCCCAUAUUGGGCA